UUUUUUUUUGUUUUUUUUUUUUUUUGUUUUUUUGUUUUUUUUUUUGUUUUUUUUUUUUUUUUUUUUUUUUUUUGACCCUCUGAUGGGGUUUAUACAUAUUACCCUCUGAUGGGGUUUAUACAGAUGUCUCCGAAAGAUAAUAAAAAUAAAUUACAUCACUUUAAUGUAAGGAAACCUUUAUCUUCCUUCUAGGUCUUUCCGUAGCUUUCUCAGAAAAUAGGAACAUGCAUGAUGAAAGUGUGAGCAUCUUCUUUGGCUUUAGUAAGAUCUCAUUUUUUCUUUUUCUUUUGCGUUGUCCCCAUGUGCUCUCGAGGAGAGCCUCCAUUUUUCUUUUUCUUUUCUACUUUUGCUUUCUUAGUGACAUGAUGGCUGGAUUGCUUCACUGGUGUGCAAUUGGCGCAUGCCAUCUCCACAAACUUCUUCACACCCUUUCCUC
RNAcentral lists this long non-coding RNA (436 nucleotides) under Malus domestica (apple). Its description in RNAcentral is "long non-coding RNA (MDOM_LNC000446)". Lineage: Eukaryota; Viridiplantae; Streptophyta; Magnoliopsida; Rosales; Rosaceae. The record is from RNAcentral.